AGUGUCUUCAGAAAACCUUGUCCAAGUGUGCCUCACAGGACCCCUAAGCACAGAGCUGUGUCAUUAUGCCUAGAUGGAGUUUUCUUAGUGUUUGGCUGCAACUCAGCUGCUUCUAAAAGAUGCCUCCACACUGGGCCAGAUUCCAGAAAGAGCUGAGCCAAUCCGCAUGAGCCCAGAACCUGUCGGCCUGACCUGGAUAAUAGACUGGGCCAGACUUCGCUAAACCGGCAUACUGAAGCAGCAAAUAUCGAUGACAUGAAAGAUCGAAUAACAGCUGCAAUCAACAUGGUGGACCGCGACACCCUGAGGCGCGUUUGGGAAGAAUUCUCAUAUCGGCUUGAUGUUGUCCGUGCUGCCGGUGGUGGCCACAUUGAGCACUUGUAAAACAUGAAAUAAAAACUUUAAGGUAUGUACAA
Molecule: long non-coding RNA, 416 nt
Organism: Phyllopteryx taeniolatus (common seadragon)
Lineage: Eukaryota; Metazoa; Chordata; Actinopteri; Syngnathiformes; Syngnathidae
Exons: 3
Source: RefSeq, a predicted model, not a curated record